GAUGAACGCUCGCGGCAGGCCUAACACAUGCAAGUCGAGGGAGAGGUUACCUUCGGGUAACCAAAACCGGCGCACGGGUGCGUAACGCGUAUACAAUCUGCCUUUCACAUAGGGAUAGCCCGAAGAAAUUUGGAUUAAUACCUAAUGGUAUAUAAGAGCGGCAUCGUUUUUAUAUUAAAGCUACGGUGGUGAAAGAUGAGUAUGCGUUCUAUUAGCUAGUUGGAGAGGUAACGGCUCCCCAAGGCGACGAUAGAUAGGGGUUCUGAGAGGGAUGUCCCCCACACUGGUACUGAGAUACGGACCAGACUCCUACGGGAGGCAGCAGUGAGGGAUAUUGGACAAUGGUCGGAAGACUGAUCCAGCCAUGCCGCGUGCAGGAUGAAGGUCCUAUGGAUUGUAAACUGCUUUUGUAAGGGAAGAAUAAGGAGUACGUGUACUUUGAUGACGGUACCUUACGAAUAAGCAUCGGCUAACUCCGUG
This 480-nucleotide ribosomal RNA is filed under the name uncultured bacterium. RNAcentral describes it as "partial 16S ribosomal RNA". It matches the Rfam family "Bacterial small subunit ribosomal RNA", at positions 28 to 507 of the family's 1533-position model. The record is from RNAcentral.